AACGCACCUUGCGCUCCUUGGUAUUCCGAGGAGCAUGCCUGUUUGAGUGUCAUGAAAUUCUCAACUGCCCCCAGGCUUUGUGGCUUGUGGGUGAAGUUGGACUUGGAGAUAUGCUGGCGCAUGAAUGGGCUUUAUGCCCUGUUGUGCUUGUCGGCUCCUCUUGAAUGCAUGAGCUUUCCAAUCCUUGGCAAAGUAUCGUCGAUGUGAUAAUUAUCUAUGUCGCCCGAGAAAGCCGAAAAGGGGAAAUCUUUGAUCACGCUGGGGUGACCCCUCGUCUGACACAUUCGACCUCAAAUCAGGUAGGACUACCCGCUGAACUUAA
This 322-nucleotide unclassified non-coding RNA is filed under the name uncultured Tomentellopsis. RNAcentral's name for it is "sequence contains ITS2". The stretch from base 1 to 52 matches the Rfam family "5.8S ribosomal RNA", at positions 103 to 154 of the family's 154-position model. The record is from RNAcentral. Lineage: Eukaryota; Fungi; Basidiomycota; Agaricomycetes; Thelephorales; Thelephoraceae.